AGAAUCAACGCUGGCGGCGUGCCUAACACAUGCAAGUCGCACGAGAAAGGGACUUCGGUCCUGAGUAAAGUGGCGCACGGGUGAGUAACACGUGAAUCAUCUACCUCCGAGUGGGGAAUAACCUAGAGAAAUCUGGGCUAAUACCGCAUAACACUUACGAGUCAAAGCAGCAAUGCGCUUGGAGAGGAGUUCGCGGCAGAUUAGUUAGUUGGCGGGGUAAUGGCCCACCAAGACGAUGAUCUGUAUCCGGCCUGAGAGGGCGCACGGACACACUGGAACUGAAACACGGUCCAGACUCCUACGGAGGCAGCAGUGGGGAAUUUUGCGCAAUGGGGGAAACCCUGACGCAGCAACGCCGCGUGGAGGAUGAAAUAUCUUGGUAUGUAAACUCCUUUCGAUGGGGAAGAUAAUGACGGUACCCAUAGAAGAAGCCCCGGCUAACUUCGUGCCAGCAGCCGC
RNAcentral lists this ribosomal RNA (459 nucleotides) under uncultured bacterium. RNAcentral describes it as "SSU rRNA". It matches the Rfam family "Bacterial small subunit ribosomal RNA", at positions 26 to 518 of the family's 1533-position model. The record is from RNAcentral.